RNAcentral lists this ribosomal RNA (460 nucleotides) under uncultured bacterium. RNAcentral describes it as "partial 16S ribosomal RNA". It matches the Rfam family "Bacterial small subunit ribosomal RNA", at positions 338 to 795 of the family's 1533-position model. The record is from RNAcentral.
CCUACGGGCGGCAGCAGUGAGGAAUAUUGGUCAAUGGGCGCGAGCCUGAACCAGCCAAGUCGCGUGAGGGAAGACGGCCCUACGGGUUGUAAACCUCUUUUGCCGGGGAGCAACGGGCGCCACGUGUGGCGCCACUGAGAGUACCCGGAGAAAAAGCAUCGGCUAACUCCGUGCCAGCAGCCGCGGUAAUACGGAGGAUGCGAGCGUUAUCCGGAUUUAUUGGGUUUAAAGGGUGCGUAGGCGGAGCGUUAAGUCAGUGGUCAAAUUGAGGGGCUCAACCCCUUCCCGCCAUUGAAACUGGCGCUCUUGAGUGGAAGAGAAGUAUGCGGAAUGCGUGGUGUAGCGGUGAAAUGCAUAGAUAUCACGCAGAACCCCGAUUGCGAAGGCGGCUUACUGGACUAUAAAUGACGCUGAGGCUCGAAAGCGUGGGGAGCAAACAGGAUGAGAUACCCGAGUAGUC